GCCGGUGUGGCGGAAUGGUAGACGCAGACGGCUAUCAACCGUCGGCGCAACCGCGCAUGGGGGUUCGAAUCCCCCCACCGGCACCA
Molecule: transfer RNA, 86 nt
Filed under: Dehalococcoidia bacterium
Lineage: Bacteria; Bacillati; Chloroflexota; Dehalococcoidia
Description: tRNA-Asp
Rfam family: tRNA
About the family: Transfer RNA (tRNA) molecules are approximately 80 nucleotides in length. Their secondary structure includes four short double-helical elements and three loops (D, anti-codon, and T loops).
Source: RNAcentral